GCUGAAACUCUAAUACUUUGACCACCUGUUGCAAAUAACUGACUCAUUUGAAAAGACCCUGAUGCUGGGAAAGAUUGAAGGCAAGAGGAGUAGUGGAUGACAGGACGAGAUGCUUUGAUGGCAUCAGCAAUUUGAUGGACAUGAGUUUGAGCAAGCUCCUGGAGUUGGUGAUGGACAGGGAAGCCUGGUGUGCUGCAGUCCAUGGGGUUGCAAAAAGCUGGACAUGUCUCAGUGACUGAAC
This is a long non-coding RNA of Cervus elaphus (red deer), 241 nucleotides long. RefSeq lists it as uncharacterized. The transcript has 2 exons. The record is from RefSeq and is a predicted model, not a curated record. Lineage: Eukaryota; Metazoa; Chordata; Mammalia; Artiodactyla; Cervidae.